This 253-nucleotide ribosomal RNA is filed under the name uncultured bacterium. RNAcentral's name for it is "partial 16S ribosomal RNA". It matches the Rfam family "Bacterial small subunit ribosomal RNA", at positions 524 to 776 of the family's 1533-position model. The record is from RNAcentral.
UACGUAUGGUGCAAGCGUUAUCCGGAUUUACUGGGUGUAAAGGGAGCGUAGGCGGUGCGUUAAGUCUGAUGUGAAAACCCGAGGCUCAACCACGGGAGUGCAUUGGAAACUGGCGGGCUGGAGUGCCGGAGAGGUAAGCGGAAUUCCUAGUGUAGCGGUGAAAUGCGUAGAUAUUAGGAGGAACACCAGUGGCGAAGGCGGCUUACUGGACGGCAACUGACGCUGAGGCUCGAAAGCGUGGGGAGCAAACAGG